This is a long non-coding RNA of Mustela lutreola (European mink), 1852 nucleotides long. RefSeq lists it as uncharacterized. The record is from RefSeq and is a predicted model, not a curated record. Lineage: Eukaryota; Metazoa; Chordata; Mammalia; Carnivora; Mustelidae. The transcript is spliced from 3 exons.
UGCAGUAUAGGUCUUUAGAGACCAUUCUUGGAAAUAAAUGGAACUGACAAACACCAAGCUGUGGUAUAAUUGCCCGUCCCCUCCUACCAAGGUGCUGUUACUGAGUCAGCUUGUGCCUGAUUCCUUGUGCCACAUUCCUUGUGCCUGAAAACUUUAAGCCCUCAUCUCUUGAGUUACUGGCUUCUCUUGCAACAAAUUUAUCUGAAUUUGCUCAGCAACAGGUGACAAACCCAGCCAGGAGCUAUGUUUUCCAUUUGCCCAGAGAACCUUCUGGAUUUCCUGGAACGGAGCCGUUGGCCAGGGUAGUGCGCCGGGAGUCACACAUUGGUUUCCCGAGUCAGCAGCUGGGAUGGAUCCGUCAGCAAUGGAAAAGAGGAGGUUAAAUAGUCCAUACAGGAGGCUGAGUAUACAGUACCAGAGCCAUUGGAAGAAACUAGGAGAAGGUGGAGUCACAGAUGCUAAGAAAAUAAUAUCAAGAAACUCGGGAGUGACCAACGGUAUCCAGUGCCACAAGAAAAUCAAGAUGAGAGAAAAUUAUCUUUUGAGGUGGAGAAGGCUUACAUUUUAAUUGAAGCACCGUGUUGUUACCCGACGCUCAGUAAGCCUGUGUCUGAGACACCGGUUUUGAAACAAAAGAAGCAGCCCUAGGAGCCUUGGUGGCUCAGUCAGUUAAGUGUCUGCCUUCCUCUGAGGUCAUGGUCUCAGGGUCCUGGGAUACUGUUAGGUCGGCGGGCUCUGGGAGUGCAGGAGGAACAAUAGAAAUGACCUCCGGUCCCGCCAUCUUCCAGCCUCCUCCCCUGCUUUCCUUCACCCUUGACUCUCCCGCCAAAAGGAUGUAUGCCCAGGUCACGCCUCCAUAGGUAACCCGAUACCUAUGCAGGAAACAGAUAAAAGACUCCCGCCAACUCCCUCCCAGUGCGACUUCCCCCACUCUGCUUUCCAGAGUCUGGGGAACCUCGCCUGAGGGUGCCCACCUCCUCCCAGAGCAACUUUCCUGGCUCCCCUUCUCCUGAGCCCUGAAACUUCAUGGGAGAGUGUCUUUAAUAAAUCUUGCCUUGCACCCACUUCGCCUGGUGUUGUGUUUAUCUCACCUGUAAAACCUUACAGAUAGAGCCCUGCAUCAGGCUCCCUGCUCGGUGGGGAGUCUGCUUCUCCCUCUCCCUCUGCUGCUCUCUCUCUCAGGUAAAUAAAUAAAAAAAUCUUAAAAAAAAAAAAAAGAAAAGAAAAAAGAAAGGCAGCCCAGGAAGAAGGCAGGGGAUUAUUCCCAAAGCUGCCUUGCUUACGUUGAGCCUAGGGACAGAUUAUAUAUGUUUGGGGAAGGAAAUGAGUUCGUGAGAGGAGGGUGCAGUGUUUCUUGAAACCUUCAGGGAGGGUGGCUUGAAACAGUUUGGAGGUGUGCAUUCUUUCAGACAAUGAGGAGCCAUUUGGGACCUGGUACGAUUAGGUAUGUCAGAUAAUUCAAGACAAAUGUUACUGUUUGGUCCCCUUUAGGUUUCUACAAUCAGUGGGUGAGCAGGAAGUUGCAGGAAGUUGGAGUGAAAAAAGCAAAGUUAAUGAUUAAUAAGAUGUGCAUAAAACUGUAAUUAAGUAGGGAAAAAACAGAACGUGGAGCGAAGUGAAUAAUGCAACUAAUACAACUAGAGUUGUACUCAUGCUUUGAAAACAGGUCUAGGAACCAAGCAUCUGGCCUCACCUCCUGCUUAUAUUCUUCUGCCUGGUCUAGUGGCUCUACCAGAAAUUUCUACGUGUUUACUUUGUGCCUUCAGAUACUCAAAGUUCAUGUGCAGCUGCAUAUUUAGAUCUAUUGAUUAACUUGGCAGUAUUUGGUAACGAGCAGGAUGACUGGGUUGAU